RNAcentral lists this ribosomal RNA (468 nucleotides) under uncultured bacterium. RNAcentral's name for it is "partial 16S ribosomal RNA". It matches the Rfam family "Bacterial small subunit ribosomal RNA", at positions 28 to 507 of the family's 1533-position model. The record is from RNAcentral.
GACGAACGCUGGCGGCGUGCUUAACACAUGCAAGUCGAACGGAAAGGCCCUGCUUUUGUUGGGUGCUCGAUUGGCGAACGUGUGAGUAACACUUGAGUAACCUGCCCUUGUCUUUUUGAUAACUUCAGGUAACUUGUGCUAAUACCGUAUAGGAUCUCCUGCUGCAUGGUUGUGGUUGGAAAGUUUCGGCGGUUGGGGAUUGUCUCGCUGCUUAUCAGCUUGUUGGUGGGGUAGUUGCUUACCAAGGCUUUGACGGGUAGCCGGCAUGAGAGGGUGACCGGAGAAAAUGGGACUGAGAUAGGGAGCAGAAUGCAACGGGAGGCAGCAGGGGGGAAUAUUGAAGAAUGGGAGGAAGAGUGAAGCAGGAAAGGGGCGUGCGGGAUGACGGCGUUCGGGUUGUAAAACGAUUUGGAAGGUGACGAAGAGUGAGUGACGGUAAUGGGUAAAGAAGCACCGGCUAACUACGUG